RNAcentral lists this ribosomal RNA (253 nucleotides) under uncultured bacterium. RNAcentral describes it as "partial 16S ribosomal RNA". It matches the Rfam family "Bacterial small subunit ribosomal RNA", at positions 524 to 776 of the family's 1533-position model. The record is from RNAcentral.
UACGGAGGGUGCAAGCGUUAUUCGGAAUUACUGGGCGUAAAGCGUGCGCAGGCGGCUUUGUAAGACAGAUGUGAAAUCCCCGGGCUCAACCUGGGAACUGCAUUUGUGACUGCAAGGCUAGAGUGCGUCAGAGGGGGAUGGAAUUCCGCGUGUAGCAGUGAAAUGCGUAGAUAUGCGGAGGAACACCGAUGGCGAAGGCAAUCCCCUGGGCCUGCACUGACGCUCAUGCACGAAAGCGUGGGUAGCAAACAGG